AAGUCGUAACAAGGUCUCCGUAGGUGAACCUGCGGAGGGAUCAUUAACACGUUUUUUAAACGUUUUUCAACCAAAAAACCGGAAACGAAAAAGUGUUGAAAAGUCAACAAUGGCAUUCAUUUGCCCUGUUUUCUUUUCCCUUUUUUUCUUCUCAACCCUUUUCCAAUCAUAACAAUGAAUUGACCUGUACUAUCAUUCCUCUUCACCCAGUGAAUGAAAGUUGAUAUCAUAAUUGAGAGCACAACUCUUAGCAACGGAUAUCUUGGUUCUC
RNAcentral lists this unclassified non-coding RNA (271 nucleotides) under fungal sp. RNAcentral describes it as "partial internal transcribed spacer region". The stretch from base 1 to 46 matches the Rfam family "Eukaryotic small subunit ribosomal RNA", at positions 1786 to 1831 of the family's 1831-position model. Lineage: Eukaryota; Fungi. The record is from RNAcentral.